Molecule: small RNA, 149 nt
Filed under: Mytilus galloprovincialis (Mediterranean mussel)
Lineage: Eukaryota; Metazoa; Mollusca; Bivalvia; Mytilida; Mytilidae
Source: RNAcentral
ACAGAUUCGACCACCACAUCUCGUGUAAUACGAUAUUUAUCCACUCUCGGCAGUUAAAUUUUAAAUAUUUAAAACGCUCGAAAUUUGAAAAUUUAACUGUUACGAGUGGAUAAAUAUUGUAUCACACUCGAUGCAGUGAUAGAAUCUCU